AGUUCCAGAAACAAGGAAAAGAUGUGGAGAAGGUUAAGCAAAGGCUAGCAGAGAUUGCCAAUUACGUGGACAAGUUUUACAGAGUGCUGAACAUUCGUGUAGCUCUGGUGGGACUGGAGGUGUGGAGUGAUGUCGAUAAGUGUGCAGUCACCCAAGACCCCUUCACAACCCUGCAUGAGUUUUUAGACUGGAGAAAACUUAAACUGCUGCCGCAGCGGCCACAUGAUAACGCCCAGCUUAUUAGUGGGGUGUACUUCCAGGGCACCACAAUAGGCAUGGC
Long non-coding RNA from Sinocyclocheilus anshuiensis, 280 nucleotides. RefSeq lists it as uncharacterized. NCBI's taxonomy places the organism in Eukaryota, Metazoa, Chordata, Actinopteri, Cypriniformes, Cyprinidae. The transcript is spliced from 3 exons. The record is from RefSeq and is a predicted model, not a curated record.